UAGAGUUUGAUCCUGGCUCAGGACGAACGCUGGCGGCGUGCCUAAUACAUGUAAGUCGAACGAAACUUUCUUACACCGAAUGCUUGCAUUCACCGUAAGAAGUUGAGUGGCGGACGGGUGAGUAACACGUGGGUAACCUGCCUAAAAGAAGGGGAUAACACUUGGAAACAGGUGCUAAUACCGUAUAUCUCUAAGGAUCGCAUGAUCCUUAGAUGAAAGAUGGUUCUGCUAUCGCUUUUAGAUGGACCCGCGGCGUAUUAACUAGUUGGUGGGGUAACGGCCUACCAAGGUGAUGAUACGUAGCCGAACUGAGAGGUUGAUCGGCCACAUUGGGACUGAGACACGGCCCAAACUCCUACGGGAGGCAGCAGUAGGGAAUCUUCCACAAUGGACGCAAGUCUGAUGGAGCAACGCCGCGUGAGUGAAGAAGGUCUUCGGAUCGUAAAACUCUGUUGUUAGAGAAGAACACGAGUGAGAGUAACUGUUCAUUCGAUGACGGUAUCUAACCAGCAAGUCACGGCUAACUACGUGCCAGCAGCCGCGGUAAUACGUAGGUGGCAAGCGUUGUCCGGAUUUAUUGGGCGUAAAGGGAACGCAGGCGGUUUUUUAAGUCUGAUGUGAAAGCCUUCGGCUUAACCGGAGUAGUGCAUUGGAAACUGGAAGACUUGAGUGCAGAAGAGGAGAGUGGAACUCCAUGUGUAGCGGUGAAAUGCGUAGAUAUAUGGAAGAACACCAGUGGCGAAAGCGGCUCUCUGGUCUGUAACUGACGCUGAGGUUCGAAAGCGUGGGUAGCAAACAGGAUUAGAUACCCUGGUAGUCCACGCCGUAAACGAUGAAUGCUAGGUGUUGGAGGGUUUCCGCCCUUCAGUGCCGCAGCUAACGCAAUAAGCAUUCCGCCUGGGGAGUACGACCGCAAGGUUGAAACUCAAAGGAAUUGACGGGGGCCCGCACAAGCGGUGGAGCAUGUGGUUUAAUUCGAAGCAACGCGAAGAACCUUACCAGGUCUUGACAUCCUUUGACCACCUAAGAGAUUAGGCUUUCCCUUCGGGGACAAAGUGACAGGUGGUGCAUGGCUGUCGUCAGCUCGUGUCGUGAGAUGUUGGGUUAAGUCCCGCAACGAGCGCAACCCUUGUUGUCAGUUGCCAGCAUUAAGUUGGGCACUCUGGCGAGACUGCCGGUGACAAACCGGAGGAAGGUGGGGACGACGUCAAGUCAUCAUGCCCCUUAUGACCUGGGCUACACACGUGCUACAAUGGACGGUACAACGAGUCGCAAGACCGCGAGGUUUAGCUAAUCUCUUAAAGCCGUUCUCAGUUCGGAUUGUAGGCUGCAACUCGCCUACAUGAAGUCGGAAUCGCUAGUAAUCGCGAAUCAGCAUGUCGCGGUGAAUACGUUCCCGGGCCUUGUACACACCGCCCGUCACACCAUGAGAGUUUGUAACACCCAAAGCCGGUGGGGUAACCGCAAGGAGCCAGCCGUCUAAGGUGGGACAGAUGAUUGGGGUGAAGUCGUAACAAGGUAACC
This 1524-nucleotide ribosomal RNA is filed under the name Ligilactobacillus salivarius. Its description in RNAcentral is "bacterial SSU rRNA". It matches the Rfam family "Bacterial small subunit ribosomal RNA". The record is from RNAcentral. Lineage: Bacteria; Bacillati; Bacillota; Bacilli; Lactobacillales; Lactobacillaceae.